This 62-nucleotide small nucleolar RNA is filed under the name Mesocricetus auratus (golden hamster). Lineage: Eukaryota; Metazoa; Chordata; Mammalia; Rodentia; Cricetidae. The record is from RNAcentral.
UUGUAUGAUGAUGAUCAAAUGUCUGACAGAAAAACCAUAUAGAUAAAAUUAACACUGGGGGG